CGUAUGGUGAGGGCUCCGUGUGUGGCUGUGUGAUGUAUGUGUGCAUAUGUGAUGAUUCGUGAGACGGCAUAAAGUGUUUUGUUUGGAAGAAGGUUUCGUGCUGAAAUUUAAAAUUAGUGCGAUUCCCUGUGCAAUAUACCGGUUUUGUGGCAAUUACAGUGUUUAUUUAGUUCAUUUUACUGCAGUGCAAGUUUUUUGCAAGAUAUAUCCGCGAUAAGCCGAACGUAUAAAGAAGGAAGAAAGCAGUGAGACAACAGGGUGACAGCAAAAUGCAAUAGCUGGAUAAACCAGAUAAUUAUAAGAAAUUAUCAUUUAAAACAGUGGAAGAUGUUCGGAACAGGAAUUGUUAAAAGAUUAAUUAGUUAUGCUUUAUCGUCCUAAUGUUUCAGAUUCUUCUACAGCAGAUAUUUGAUGGCAAAAAGCGAGUGAAAAAAGAAUGCAACUAUGGACGGACGGCAUAAACCAACUCGAUUAAACUACUAUACAUACCCGUCGUUAUUGUUGUGCCAACAAUUAUAAGGGAGAUUAUACUGUGAAGCGUAUGCUGCACAAAAUUGUCCCGGUCUGCCAACCAUUUCCUCGCGCCCUUCUCAUUCGAUUGCUCAUGAUCAGACUGUGCAAUUUUAAAAUGCAUACAUAACGGAAUGCAGCUUACUUUUUGACAACGAUUUUUUCCAAGUUUCAUAAGACGUUCAAGUGCUAUCGCUAUGAGCUGAAAUUUUAAUAUAAUAGACAUAUGAGGAAAGGGUCAAAACAGUAGCUAGAUAGGAUAACAUACACUACGAAAAUCAUGCCCAGCAUCGUGCUAUCUAUCAACCAAACACAUCAUUAAUAGACAUGCUCAUUAUAGACUCGCAGGACGACUACAUUUGUCCCGUCGAUUACAAGCAGAUAGGAUAAUGUAGAAAAUAGGAUAGGAUAUUUAGUCAAAUGAGAUCAAAGCUAUAUGUUUAAUUCAGAGAAGGUAUUGUAACAUAAUGGUACAUGAAAGAUUGAAAAAGGGUAAGGCGGCAAAUACACGACGCGCGUUUCCGCGCCCGCGGAAACGCGUAUAAAAUCCAGCCAUAGGAAUUAAAUGUCAUUCGAAUGUGCUACAACGGAAACGCAGAGAUGCUCAUUCUGAAUAUCUCUGCGGAACUGUUAUGCACGUUUGAACGCGCCCGCGGAAACGCAUAUCGUGUAUUUGCGGCCUAAUAUAUAUUAAACUAAAUCAAGCUAUUUAUUAUACUAAUAUUUAGGGAUAGUAUAGCUGGAGUGCAAGUUCAAGUAUAGCACUCAACAGGAAGACUGAAGCCGAUAGCUACAAUCAUACACGUUACCCGGCCCUCUAGUACUAAUCUAACACGACAUCCAACAUAAACAAAUAUUCCAUUCAUUCAACAGGUUCGAGUCUUGUUUGUUCGAGAUGUCUAGCGGAGCACCUCCAUAUAACUCUAUACGUUUCUUCGAGUUGAAUGUCUGGUUCGAUUGGUGCCAAAGGGUCGGGUUUAACAAAACAUAAUUUUACGGUUAGUAUUAUACACGCAAAGAACACAGAUUAAGCGUAUU
This is a long non-coding RNA of Anopheles merus, 1548 nucleotides long. RefSeq lists it as uncharacterized. The record is from RefSeq and is a predicted model, not a curated record. The transcript is spliced from 3 exons. NCBI's taxonomy places the organism in Eukaryota, Metazoa, Arthropoda, Insecta, Diptera, Culicidae.